AUGAAGAUGAUUGAGCAGCACAAUCAGGAAUACAGGGAAGGGAAACACAGCUUCACAAUGGCCAUGAACGCCUUUGGAGAAAUGACCAGUGAAGAAUUCAGGCAGGUGGUGAAUGGCUUUCAAAACCAGAAGCACAGGAAGGGGAAAGUGCUCCAGGAACCUCUGCUUCAUGACAUCCGCAAAUCUGUGGAUUGGAGAGAGAAAGGCUACGUGACUCCUGUGAAGGAUCAGUGCAGCUGGGGCUCUGUAAGGACAGAUGUUAGGAAAACUGAGAAACUAGUUUCACUGAGUGUGCAGACCUGGUGGACUGCUCUAGGCUUCAAGGCAAUGUUGGCUGCAUUUUUGGAGAACCAUUAUUUUGCUUCCAGUAUGUUGCCGACAAUGGAGGCCUGGACUCUGAGGAAUCCUUUUCAUAUGAAGAAAAGCUCUGGAGACUGGAAAGUCCAAGGUCACAGAGGUGCAUCUGGUGAGAGCCUUCUUGCUAGUGGGGAAUCUCAGCAGAGUCCUGAGGUGGCACAGUAUUCUGGGAAGCAUCAAGUGCAGUGUCAUCUUAUCGAGGAGGCUCUGCAGAUGCUAAGUGGUGGGGAUGAGGAUCACGAUGAAGACAAAUGGCCCCAUGACAUGAGGAAUCAUCUGGCUGGAGAGGCCCAGGUGUAG
This is an RNA transcript of Homo sapiens (human), 657 nucleotides long. It is a transcript of the gene named cathepsin L family member 3, pseudogene, with no coding region annotated. Lineage: Eukaryota; Metazoa; Chordata; Mammalia; Primates; Hominidae. The record is from RefSeq and is marked validated. The transcript has 5 exons.